AGCGCAAUAGUAAGCUGUAAUAAUAUGAGUGAAAUUAAUAAUGAGACUGCUAUCUCUACUAAAAGUCAUGAUUAUAGAAAAGAUAUUGAGUCCGCAUGUUCAAUGUUAGAUGAAAAAAAUUCUAAAAACACUGAAACUAGUGUUAUGUCCUCAGAAACUGAUUACCAGAAGAAAAUGACAGUUUUUACCUCUACUAGAAAUAUGAACGAAACCGAUACCUGUGAUGAUUCAAGUAUGAAUGAAAAGAUUGAUAAUUCUAAGGAACAAUGUAAUUCUAAGAGUCAUAUUGACAUAACUAUAUCUUAUGGCAAUACUAAUGUAAUCAUAACCUGCGAUAAUAUAAGUGAAAUUAUCAAUGCAACUCCAGUCUCUACUAAUAAUCAUGAUUAUGAGAAAAAUUUUAAAUCUAUAUUUUUAUUGUCAGAUGAAAGAAGUUCUAAAACUGAAACUAACGCUGAAACUAAUGUUAUAUUCUCAGAAACUGAUUGC
Non-coding RNA from Linepithema humile (Argentine ant), 489 nucleotides. The record is from RefSeq and is a predicted model, not a curated record. Lineage: Eukaryota; Metazoa; Arthropoda; Insecta; Hymenoptera; Formicidae.